RNAcentral lists this long non-coding RNA (235 nucleotides) under Lathyrus oleraceus (garden pea). RNAcentral's name for it is "Pisum sativum (pea) long non-coding RNA (PSAT_LNC028128)". Lineage: Eukaryota; Viridiplantae; Streptophyta; Magnoliopsida; Fabales; Fabaceae. The record is from RNAcentral.
CAAUUUCUCUAUCUGACCAGUCAGUUCGGCUACUGUCUCCUCCUCCUUUGCCUUCCGAGAAGUUGAAAAUGCAUCUCAUUGCUCCUACCACCCAGCUAAUUUACCAUGAGCAUCUACUAACUGCUGCUUGACUCACCUCAACUCAGAACUGGAUGAUCUCAAGGCUUCGUCUGUCUUCCUGAAGAAGUCCGCCUCCACAGCAAAUCUCCUCUUUGCUUCCUUUUGCACUCUGACG